UUCGGGGUACUCGAGCGGCGAACGGGUGAGUAACACGUGAGCAACCUGCCCUAGGCUUUGGGAUAACCCCGGGAAACCGGGGCUAAUACCGAAUAUGACCUGGCCUCGCAUGAGGCUUGGUGGAAAGUUUUUCGGCCUGGGAUGGGCUCGCGGCCUAUCAGCUUGUUGGUGGGGUGAUGGCCUACCAAGGCGACGACGGGUAGCCGGCCUGAGAGGGCGACCGGCCACACUGGGACUGAGACACGGCCCAGACUCCUACGGGAGGCAGCAGUGGGGAAUAUUGCACAAUGGGCGGAAGCCUGAUGCAGCGACGCCGCGUGAGGGAUGACG
This 330-nucleotide ribosomal RNA is filed under the name Micromonospora sp. RNAcentral's name for it is "bacterial SSU rRNA". It matches the Rfam family "Bacterial small subunit ribosomal RNA", at positions 81 to 413 of the family's 1533-position model. Lineage: Bacteria; Bacillati; Actinomycetota; Actinomycetes; Micromonosporales; Micromonosporaceae. The record is from RNAcentral.